This 482-nucleotide ribosomal RNA is filed under the name Flavobacterium sp. WB2.1-53. RNAcentral describes it as "bacterial SSU rRNA". It matches the Rfam family "Bacterial small subunit ribosomal RNA", at positions 14 to 497 of the family's 1533-position model. The record is from RNAcentral. Lineage: Bacteria; Pseudomonadati; Bacteroidota; Flavobacteriia; Flavobacteriales; Flavobacteriaceae.
UGAUCCUGGCUCAGGAUGAACGCUAGCGGCAGGCUUAACACAUGCAAGUCGAGGGGUAUUGGUUUUCGGACCUAGAGACCGGCGCACGGGUGCGUAACGCGUAUGCAAUCUACCUUUUGCAGAGGGAUAGCCCAGAGAAAUUUGGAUUAAUACCUCAUAGUAUAGCAGUUUCGCAUGAAACCACUAUUAAAGUCACAACGGCAAAAGAUGAGCAUGCGUCCCAUUAGCUAGUUGGUAAGGUAACGGCUUACCAAGGCUACGAUGGGUAGGGGUCCUGAGAGGGAGAUCCCCCACACUGGUACUGAGACACGGACCAGACUCCUACGGGAGGCAGCAGUGAGGAAUAUUGGACAAUGGGCGCAAGCCUGAUCCAGCCAUGCCGCGUGCAGGAUGACGGUCCUAUGGAUUGUAAACUGCUUUUGUACAGGAAGAAACACUCCCUCGUGAGGGAGCUUGACGGUACUGUAAGAAUAAGGAUCGGC